This 253-nucleotide ribosomal RNA is filed under the name uncultured bacterium. RNAcentral describes it as "partial 16S ribosomal RNA". It matches the Rfam family "Bacterial small subunit ribosomal RNA", at positions 524 to 776 of the family's 1533-position model. The record is from RNAcentral.
UACGAAGGGGGCUAGCGUUGCUCGGAAUCACUGGGCGUAAAGGGUGCGUAGGCGGGGCUUUAAGUCAGAUGUGAAAUCCUGGAGCUCAACUCCAGAACUGCCUUUGAUACUGAGGAUCUUGAGUUCGGGAGAGGUGAGUGGAACUGCGAGUGUAGAGGUGAAAUUCGUAGAUAUUCGCAAGAACACCAGUGGCGAAGGCGGCUCACUGGCCCGAUACUGACGCUGAGGCACGAAAGCGUGGGGAGCAAACAGG